UUGACACCCUGACACCCUGUCAUUACGCCACUGCAACCACAAGGCAAUGAACGGGUAGUCUGCAAAAAUUCAUCCUCGUCUUCAAGGCCUUUUUGAAUCGACGGCGACUCUCGUCGAGUGUUGAGUGGGGUUGAGUGACAUCCAGAAUCCAGUGGCAGUAAUGACAGUGACAUUUUGUGACAUCCUUGCCUCCAGGUUUCGGCCGCGGCGCGCCGCUGGCGCUUCGGAGUUCGGCUCAGUGGUUCGACCUCGCGGCUUGCAAAUAGAAUGGCGGUUGUUUUUCUUCAGCAAAUGUGAAAUGUAAAGAAAUAUUUCCAGUACUAUUUGGUAUAUGUUUAAGCCAAAAAUCUCAAGUUAUGCUUUAGUUGCUGGUUUAUUGCCAGAUUGACUGUUAUGCAACAUGCUCAUACCUCUACUGCAAAAUUGACUGACUGUUUCACAGCACAUUCGUAUACUUUUACAGCAAAUCAUUUUGACUGACUGUUUCACAGCACAUUCGUAUACUUUUACAGCAAAUCAUUUUGACUGACUGUUUCACAGCAGAUUCGUAUACUUUUACAGCAAAUCAUUUUGGAUGGAACAUGUGAGAAAUCCUUUUGACCUUUGUUACAUUGACCCAUUUAAAAGAUCACUAUUAAGCAAACUUUGACUGAGAGUUUUUUAAUGAUGCAUGUGUUACGAAUCAGUGCAGCGAACGAGUGUACUUAGCGAUCCUUCACAGAGAGGAAAUGAUUAACCGUACAAUAAGGGUGUAAUUGGUGCCUUCACAAGUAUUUCUGGCGUACAAAGACUUUCCGUAUAAAUGCUUCGCAGCCCUCACAGGUACCAGUUGUCAAGUCCAGUUAUAAGGGCAUCAUUGAUGGAAUCUGAUUGGUGAUACAAGUUACAACCGAAGCAAAAUUGAGUCUAACAUAUCCUCAUGUCCCUGCAUUUUGAUCAAAGGACUGAUUAAAACCCAUCAGCCAAAUAGACUAUAGACCAGGAAUUGUCUAGCAUUUAGAAACAAUGACUGUGAGUAUGUGGAACUUAUAAGACCUGAAAUGCAUUCCACCUAAAAGAAAACGUAUGUCUUACAAUAGUAAACCGCACAUACUAGUAUCCAUAUAAGUAGAUCACUGCUGCUUCAGUGUUUUAACACUGUUGAGUUCUAAUUAUUAUGGCUAUCAGGAAUAAACAAGUAAUUUAAGUCA
Long non-coding RNA from Dendronephthya gigantea, 1190 nucleotides. RefSeq lists it as uncharacterized. The record is from RefSeq and is a predicted model, not a curated record. NCBI's taxonomy places the organism in Eukaryota, Metazoa, Cnidaria, Anthozoa, Malacalcyonacea, Nephtheidae. The transcript is spliced from 9 exons.